UUUUUUUCCCCAUUUCCCAAGGAUUUUUUUUCCAUUUUCCCAACUUUUCCAUCCCCAUUUUCCCAAAUUUUUCCCAAUUUUUUUCCUCCAUUUCCCCUUUUUUUUACCAAUUUUCCCCCCCCCAAUUUUCCCAUUUCCUUCCUCACCAUUUUCCCAAAUUUUUCCCCAUUUUUCCCAAAUUUUUUCCCCCUUUUCCCAUUUUUUCCCCCCAAUUUUCCCCCCAUUUUUUCCCAAUUCCUUCCCCACCAUUUUCCCCAAAUUUUUUUUCCCUUUUCCCAAAUUUCCCCCCCAAUUUUCCAGGAUUUUUUUCCCCCAUUUUUCCCCAAAUUUUCCCAUUUUCUCCAAGUUUUUUCCCCAUUUUUCCCAAAUUUCCCCCUCAUUUUCCAAGCUUUUUUUUCCCAUUUCCCAAGGAUUUUUCCCCCAUUUUCCCAACUUUCCCAUCCCCAUUUUCCCAAAUUUUUCCCAAAUUUUUUUCCCCUUUUCCCAAAUUUUCCCCCAAUUUUUCCCAAUUAUUUUCCUUUAUUUUCCCAUUUUUUCCCCGAUUUUUCCCCCCCAAUUUUCCCAAUUCCUUCCUCACCAUUUUCCCAAAUUUUUCCCCCAUUUUUUCCUCUUUUCCCAAAUUUUUCAUUCCCUUUUCCCAAUUUUUUUCCCAAUUUUUCCCAUUUUUCCCAAGUUUUUUUUCCCCUUUUCCCAAAUUUUCCAGGAUUUUUUUCCCCAUUUUUCCCCAAAUUUUCCCAUUUUCCCCAAGUUUUUUCCCCAUUUUUCCCAAAUUCCCCAAGCUUUUUUUUCCCCAUUUCCCAAGGAUUUUUCCCCCAUUUUCCCAACUUUUCCAUCCCCAUUUCCCCAAAUUUUUCCCAAAUUUUUUCCUUUAUUUUCCCAUUUUUUUACCAAUUUUUUCCCCCCAAUUUUCCCAUUUCUUUCCUCACCAUUUUCCCAAUUUUUUCCCCAUUUUUCCCAAAUUUUUUCCCUCUUUUCCCAUUUUUUUCCCAUUUUUCCCCCAAUUUUCUCAAUUCCUUCCCCACCAUUUUCCCAAUUUUUUCUGAAGUUUUUUUCCCCUUUUCCCAAUUUUUUUCCCCAAUUUUCCUGGGUUUUGUUUUUCCAUUUUUUUUUCCCAUUUUCCCACGAUUUUUCCCCAUUUUUUUCCCAUUUUUUCCCCCCAUUUUCCCAAAUUUUUCCCAAUUUUUUUUCCCCAUUUCCCAAAUUUUUCACCCAAUUUUCCUGGGUUUUGUUUUUCCAUUUUUCUUCCCAUUUUCCCAAAUUUUUUUUUCCCCGUUUCCCAAUUUUUUCCCCAUUUUUCCCAACUUUUUCAUUCCCUUUUCCCAAAUUUUCCCCCAAUUUUCCAGGAUUUUUUUUCCCCAUUUUUCCCCAAAUUUUCCUAUUUUCCCCAAGUUUUUUCCCCAUUUUUCCCAAAUUUCCCAAAUUUUUUUUUCCCCAUUUCCCAAGGAUUUUUCCCCCAUUUUCCCAACUUUUCCAUCCCCAUUUUCCCAAAUUUUUCCCAAAUUUUUUCCUUUAUUUUCCCAUUUUUUUCCCAAUUUUUUUCCCCCCAAUUUUCCCAUCUCCUUCCUCACCAUUUUCCCAAAUUUUUCCCCAUUUUUCCCCCAUUUUUUCCUCUUUUCCCAAAUUUUUCAUUCCCUUUUCCCAAAUUUUCCCCCAAUUUUCCUGGGUUUUGUUUUUCCAUUUUUCCCCCAAAUUUUCCCAUUUUCCCCCCAUUUUCCCAAAUUUUUUUCCCCAUUUUUCCCAAAUUUCCCAGGUUUUUUUUUCCCAUUUCCCAAGGAUUUUUAUCCCAUUUUCCCAACUUUUCCAUCCCCAUUUCCCCAAAUUUUUCCCAAAUUUUUCCCAAAUUUUUUCCUUUAUUUUCCCAUUUUUUUACCAAUUUUUUCCCCCCAAUUUUCCCAUUUCUUUCCUCACCAUUUUCCCAAUUUUUUCCCCAUUUUUCCCAAAUUUUUUCCCCCUUUUCCCUAUUUUUUUCCUCCAUUUUCCCAUUUUUUUCCCCCCAUUUUUCCCAAAUUUUUUUCCCCAUUUCCCAAAUUUUUCCCCCAAUUUUCCUGGGUUUUGUUUUUCCAUUUUUCUUCCCAUUUUCCCAAAUUUUUUUUCCCUUUUCCCAUUUUUCCCCCAUUUUUCCCAAAUUUUUUUCCCCAUUUUUCCCAAAUUUCCCCCCCCAUUUUCCAAGCUUUUUUUCCCCAUUUCCCAAGGAUUUUUACCCCAUUUUCCCAACUUUUCCAUCCCCAUUUUCCCAAAUUUUUCCCAAAUUUUUUCCUUUAUUUUCCCAUUUUUUUCCCAAUUUUUUUCCCCCCAAUUUUCCCAUCUCCUUCCUCACCAUUUUCCCAAAUUUUUCCCCAUUUUUCCCCCAUUUUUUCCUCUUUUCCCAAAUUUUUCAUUCCCUUUUCCCAAAUUUUCCCCCAAUUUUCCUGGGUUUUGUUUUUCCAUUUUUCCCCCAAAUUUUCCCAUUUUCCCCCCAUUUUCCCAAAUUUUUUUCCCCAUUUUUCCCAAAUUUCCCAGGUUUUUUUUUCCCAUUUCCCAAGGAUUUUUAUCCCAUUUUCCCAACUUUUCCAUCCCCAUUUCCCCAAAUUUUUCCCAAAUUUUUCCCAAAUUUUUUCCUUUAUUUUCCCAUUUUUUUACCAAUUUUUUCCCCCCAAUUUUCCCAUUUCUUUCCUCACCAUUUUCCCAAAUUUUCCCCAUUUUUCCCAAGUUUUUCCCCAAUUUUUUUCUUCCAUUUUCCCAUUUUUUCCCCAUUUUCCCCCCAUUUUUUCCCAAUCCCUUC
This 2761-nucleotide long non-coding RNA is filed under the name Cyanistes caeruleus (blue tit). RNAcentral describes it as "lncRNA (ENSCCEG00000002838.1)". Lineage: Eukaryota; Metazoa; Chordata; Aves; Passeriformes; Paridae. The record is from RNAcentral.